CUUAUUUAGGACAGCUUCUACAAAAAAACAUAUUCCGGCAAAAGAAAACAAUGCAACUACCUACACAUGGCUUAUUAAAGGCAAACAACACGAUUGACUUGUUUAGAACCAUUCUUCCUAGCUGCAUGUUUGUUGAUGUUCUUUGGAAGCUGAUUGCUAGGCCCCGAGGAUGCAUCAGAAGCCAUGGAAUCAUCACUCUCUUCAUCACCACCAUCAUCACUAUUGUCGCCAUCAUCGUUCUCAUAGCCAUCAUGAGCCUCUUUUACCUGUGUAUCAUCAUCAUCAUCAUCAACAACAACAGAUGAAUGGUCAUUUCCAUGGAAGGCGUCUUCUAUGUACAUAGUCCACCCUGACUCACAACUGCUGUAUUCCUCCUCUUCAGAGCCUCCAUGGUUCCUCGGAGACUCCAUGGCUUCGAGCAACGGAAAGAGGAAAAGAAAAAACAAGGUCUCAAGAUUUGCAUAUAUGCACACACACACAAAGAUCACUUGCUUUUUCUAAAGUAUCAAGAAAAACCGGAGCCUAUAGGAAGCCUCAUAUAAUUGAAGAGAAGGAGUAAGUUUCACCACAUGGCAACCCUAGCACCAUUGUUUUCACUCAAUUGAAGCACUACCAGACAAAGCUCAUUGCAGAUAUAUAUCAAGAGAAGGAAGGUCAGUGCCUUCUUCAUUAUAAAGUACUCUCUCUUAUAGAAUUAAAAGCCUAUUGUUCUUCUUUUUCAAUAUAAACUAAAUAUACUUUUCUUUAAACAAAUAUUUUUGGUUCCUAACAAACCAUAAUCUAGUCUUAGAGUCAGGACACAUCAAUAUCCACAUAACAAGAAUCAAUCUUCUGAGCUCUGUCAUUAGUGAUAUGUCAUAGGUUAUAUAUCUUCUUAAUUGAUAUGUUAAGUUUUUACUUCUCUGUACUCACUAUCUCUCUCUUCUCUUCUCCCUAUGUAUCACUCUGGCUAUCUUAAAUAAAAAAAAGAUCAGCUUUUGAGGUGGAAAUCAGAAGAGACCCACAUCAACAAACAAGAAGGAAUAAAAGAAGCAUUUACUUAAUUAGGUUAAGAGCUGUUCCUCUUCUCAUUCCUUUAAUACUCUUCUUCCUCCUCCAAUCCUCUCUCAUUGUCUUUAAAAUUGUUGCAGCCUUUUACUUCCUCUCUCAUUGUAUUGAAAAGUGGAGGCCCUCUUGGUGACAGCUUGCAAAUCAAAGGGUGUGAUGAGAGUUCAUAUCACAAAAGGGUUGUUUUGUUUUGACUUUGACUCUCCUUUGAGUAAUGUUAACAAAGAUAUUAAGCUUUGUGUGCUUUAAGACAUUUUUGAGUCUCAUAAGUUAAAUACUUAAAAAGAAAAAAUAGUUCUGAAA
Molecule: long non-coding RNA, 1350 nt
Organism: Arabidopsis lyrata subsp. lyrata
Lineage: Eukaryota; Viridiplantae; Streptophyta; Magnoliopsida; Brassicales; Brassicaceae
Exons: 4
Source: RefSeq, a predicted model, not a curated record